AACGAACGCUGGCGGCAUGCCUAACACAUGCAAGUCGAACGAAGCCUUCGGGCUUAGUGGCGCACGGGUGCGUAACGCGUGGGAAUCUGCCCUUGGGUUCGGAAUAACAGUUAGAAAUGACUGCUAAUACCGGAUGAUGUCUUCGGACCAAAGAUUUGUCGCCCAAGGAUGAGCCCGCGUAGGAUUAGGUAGUUGGUGGGGUAAUGGCCCCCCAAGCCGACGAUCCUUAGCUGGUCUGAGAGGAUGAUCAGCCACACUGGGACUGAGACACGGCCCAGACUCCUACGGGAGGCAGCAGUGGGGAAUAUUGGACAAUGGGCGAAAGCCUGAUCCAGCAAUGCCGCGUGAGUGAUGAAGGCCUUAGGGUUGUAAAGCUCUUUUACCAGGGAUGAUAAUGACAGUACCUGGAGAAUAAGCUCCGGCUAACUCCGUGCCAGCAGCCGCAGUAA
This 449-nucleotide ribosomal RNA is filed under the name uncultured bacterium. Its description in RNAcentral is "partial 16S ribosomal RNA". It matches the Rfam family "Bacterial small subunit ribosomal RNA", at positions 29 to 523 of the family's 1533-position model. The record is from RNAcentral.